GAUUUGAGAGGAUGAUCAGCCACAUUGGGACUGAGACACGGCCCAAACUCCUACGGGAGGCAGCAGUGGGGAAUCUUGCACAAUGGAGGAAACUCUGAUGCAGCGAUGCCGCGUGAGUGAAGAAGGCCUUUGGGUUGUAAAGCUCUUUCGUCGGGGAAGAAAAUGACUGUACCCGAAUAAGAAGGUCCGGCUAACUUCGUGCCAGCAGCCGCGGUAAUACGAAGGGACCUAGCGUAGUUCGGAAUUACUGGGCUUAAAGAGUUCGUAGGUGGUUGAAAAAGUUGGUGGUGAAAUCCCAGAGCUUAACUCUGGAACUGCCAUCAAAACUUUUCAGCUAGAGUAUGAUAGAGGAAAGCAGAAUUUCUAGUGUAGAGGUGAAAUUCGUAGAUAUUAGAAAGAAUACCAAUUGCGAAGGCAGCUUUCUGGAUCAUUACUGACACUGAGGAACGAAAGCAUGGGUAGCGAAGAGGAUUAGAUACCCUCGUAGUCCAUGCCGUAAACGAUGUGUGUUAGACGUUGGAAAUUUAUUUUCAGUGUCGCAGCGAAAGCGAUAAACACACCGCCUGGGGAGUACGACCGCAAGGUUAAAACUCAAAUGAAUUGACGGGGACCCGCACAAGUAGUGGAGCAUGUGGUUUAAUUCGAAGAUACGCGCAGAACCUUACCAACACUUGACAUGUUCGUCGCGACUUUAAGAGAUUAAAGUUUUCGGUUCGGCCGGACGAAACACAGGUGCUGCAUGGCUGUCGUCAGCUCGUGUCGUGAGAUGUUGGGUUAAGUCCCGCAACGAGCGCAACCCUCACUUUUAGUUGCCAUCAUUAAGUUGGGCACUCUGAAAGAACUGCCAGUGAUAAGCUGGAGGAAGGUGGGGAUGACGUCAAGUCCUCAUGGCCCUUA
This 897-nucleotide ribosomal RNA is filed under the name marine metagenome. RNAcentral's name for it is "bacterial SSU rRNA". It matches the Rfam family "Bacterial small subunit ribosomal RNA", at positions 289 to 1204 of the family's 1533-position model. The record is from RNAcentral.